GACGUAGGAGGCGAGCGUUGUCCGGAUUCAUUGGGCGUAAAGAGCACGCAGGCGGUUUGGCAAGUCGGAUGUGAAAACCCGAAGCUCAACUUCGGGCCUGCAUCCGAAACUGCCCGACUAGAGGUAGGUAGGGGAGAUCGGAAUUCCUGGUGUAGCGGUGAAAUGCGCAGAUAUCGAGAGGAACACCUGCGGCGAAGGCGGGUUGCUGGGCUGACACUGACGCUGAGGCGCGAAAGCUAGGGGAGCGAACGGG
This 253-nucleotide ribosomal RNA is filed under the name uncultured bacterium. RNAcentral describes it as "partial 16S ribosomal RNA". It matches the Rfam family "Bacterial small subunit ribosomal RNA", at positions 524 to 776 of the family's 1533-position model. The record is from RNAcentral.